AUUGAACGCUGGCGGCGUGCUUAACACAUGCAAGUCGUGCGGUAACAGGCGUAGCAAUACGUGCUGACGAGCGGCGAACGGGUGCGUAAUACAUGGGAAUCUGCCCUUUAGUGGGGAAUAACCCGGCGAAAGCCGGGCUAAUGCCGCAUAAGAUCUUCGGAUGAAAGCGGGGGAUCGUAAGACCUCGCGCUGAUGGAUGAGCCCAUGCCGGAUUAGCAGUUGGUGAGGUAACGGCUCACCAAGGCGACGAUCCGUAGCUGGUCUGAGAGGACGGCCAGCCACACUGGGACUGAGACACGGCCCAGACUCCUACGGGAGGCAGCAGUGGGGAAUAUUGGACAAUGGGGGAAACCCUGAUCCAGCAAUGCCGCGU
Molecule: ribosomal RNA, 373 nt
Filed under: uncultured bacterium
Lineage: Bacteria
Description: bacterial SSU rRNA
Rfam family: Bacterial small subunit ribosomal RNA
Source: RNAcentral